AUGGGUCGUCAAAUUCUAUAGAAGGCGCGAUCAUGCGAAGCAGAGGCGAGCGAUCCUCUUCCUUUCGUUCCACCACCGACGGUCAAGAGAUGUCAAGGGUGUCCCUUCCUCGGUCAUCAUCCACCUGUCACCAGCCGACGACGCCACCUCAACCAUCUAAACGCUAAUUCUGUCACGACUUUGUGCAAGGAAGAAGAAGCAUAGAAGGUGGAGGAAUUUGGUGGUUCCAGCCGAUUCCCUCUUCUUCAGGCCAGCGAUCAUCCUUCGCCGAAGCUCCGAUCAUGUCUAGGACUUGAGACUGUUUCCUGCUGUAUACUUCUUAUUUUGAUGUUGUUGAUUGAUUUUGCCAGAUCCAGAGCUCAUCUGAUUGGAUCAAUUCUUCGCCGAUUGCAAGAUUUGACAUCUUUGUCAAGAUCAACGAGUGCUUGGGGAUUCCUAGCUCACCUUGAUGUUGUUGAUGAUGCAAGUACUGAUGUUGAUGAUGAGGAGAGUAUAGGGGAUUGCAUAGUGGAAGCAAUACCCCAAGAAUCACUUUUUCCAGUUGUACAAUCACCUAAACUAAGUAUUGAUGAUAUAAGUGUAGGGGAUUGCACAUUGAGGCAAUACCCCAAGAACCACCUGAACCGGAGCGUAAACCACUACUUGAGGAUGAGGAGGUCACAGUCACCAUUCUAGAAUCUCCAUGUACGUUUCAACAUGACAAGGUUAGUGUUUCUUUUGAUUUUUUUAGAAAAUUUCUUAGAGGUAUAAUUAAUUGAUUUUAUUAGAUGUGAUUCAUUUCUUGAUACAUUUUCUACAAAAACUAAUAUUUUUUUGUCUUCUUCUUAUCCCACAUGCGUGUGGGAGGUGUUGUCUUUUGUUGAAUUUACAAGAGAUUAUAAGCUCCCGGAGUGGUUACUCCAAUUGAACCGCCUUCAACCUCCAAGGAGUAUUUUCAAGAGGAAUAUGGUGAAGGGAGAGGUCAUUACUUCAAAUGCAAUGAUUCCACUCCCAACUUGGAUUUUGUUUCUUAACCGACUCCAACCACCGGGAAGGACCAUUUCAAUGCCGGUGUGGAUGCUACUUCUAAAUUGUUUGCAACCAUCCGGAAUAAAGGGGAGUUCGUUCCUUGCUUUUGUUUUUUACUUUACACUUUCUUCUACUUUCAUACUUUACAUUUGUAUUUUGCUUAAUACUUUGCACUUUGUUUGGUCUACAUAACAUUUCAUUUGAAGAAAAUUCUCCAUGAAAUUGUUCUA
This is a long non-coding RNA of Zingiber officinale, 1238 nucleotides long. RefSeq lists it as uncharacterized. The transcript is spliced from 2 exons. NCBI's taxonomy places the organism in Eukaryota, Viridiplantae, Streptophyta, Magnoliopsida, Zingiberales, Zingiberaceae. The record is from RefSeq and is a predicted model, not a curated record.